GAUGAACGCUGUCGGCGUGCCUAAUUCAUUCAAGUCAAGCGAACAGUUCAGGAGCUUGCUCCUUUGACUUUAUCGGCGGACGUGUGAGUAACACUUGGGUAACCUACCUAUAAGACUGGAAUAACUCCGGGAAACCGGGGCUAAUGCCGGAUAACAUUUAGAACCGCAUGGUUCUAAAGUGAAAGAUGGUUUUGCUAUCACUUAUAGAUGGACCCGCGCCGUAUUAGCUAGUUGGUAAGGUAACGGCUUACCAAGGCAACGAUACGUAGCCGACCUGAGAGGGUGAUCGGCCACACUGGAACUGAGACACGGUCCAGAAUCCUACGAAAGGCACCAGUAGGGAAACUGCCGAAAGGAGCGAAAGCCUGACGGAGCAACGCAGCGUGAGUGAUGAAGGUCUACGGAACGUAAGACAGUGGUAGUAGGGAAGAACAAAUGUGAAAGUAACUGUGCACGUCUUGACGGUACAUAAUCAGAAAGCCACGGCUAACUACGUG
RNAcentral lists this ribosomal RNA (497 nucleotides) under uncultured bacterium. RNAcentral describes it as "partial 16S ribosomal RNA". It matches the Rfam family "Bacterial small subunit ribosomal RNA", at positions 28 to 507 of the family's 1533-position model. The record is from RNAcentral.